This 234-nucleotide long non-coding RNA is filed under the name Capsicum annuum. RNAcentral describes it as "long non-coding RNA (CANN_LNC019588)". The record is from RNAcentral. Lineage: Eukaryota; Viridiplantae; Streptophyta; Magnoliopsida; Solanales; Solanaceae.
GGCAAACUAAAGGAAAAAAAGAAAGAAAAAAAUAGUAAAUUAAAGGAAAAAUGAAAGAAAAAAAAAAGAAAUAAAAGAUAUAAAAAAAAUAAUAAUAAAGGGGAGAGACUAUAUAUAGAUUAUAUUUAAUUGAUAAGAGAUGUUAGAAUUGUAUAGGCUAAAUGGGAUAAUUAGAAGUUUAUAUCUAUUAACCCAUGUAGGUCUCAAGCGAAUACAAAUGAUGAAAUAAGAAUG